AUUGAACGCUGGCGGCAUGCCUUACACAUGCAAGUCGAACGGCAGCGCGGGAGCAAUCCUGGCGGCGAGUGGCGAACGGGUGAGUAAUACAUCGGAACGUGCCCAAUCGUGGGGGAUAACGCAGCGAAAGCUGUGCUAAUACCGCAUACGAUCUACGGAUGAAAGCAGGGGAUCGCAAGACCUUGCGCGAAUGGAGCGGCCGAUGGCCGAUUAGGUAGUUGGUGAGGUAAAGGCUCACCAAGCCUUCGAUCUGUAGCUGGUCUGAGAGGACGACCAGCCACACUGGGACUGAGACACGGCCCAGACGCCUACGGGAGGCAGCAGUGGGGAAUUUUGGACAAUGGGCGAAAGCCUGAUCCAGCCAUGCCGCGUGCAGGAUGAAGGCCUUCGGGUUGUAAACUGCUUUUGUACGGAACGAAACGGUCUUUUCUAAUAAAGAAGGCUAAUGACGGUACCGUAAGAAUAAGCACCGGCUAACUACGUG
RNAcentral lists this ribosomal RNA (484 nucleotides) under uncultured bacterium. Its description in RNAcentral is "partial 16S ribosomal RNA". It matches the Rfam family "Bacterial small subunit ribosomal RNA", at positions 30 to 507 of the family's 1533-position model. The record is from RNAcentral.